This is a microRNA precursor of Myotis lucifugus (little brown bat), 89 nucleotides long. It matches the Rfam family "mir-9195 microRNA precursor family". The record is from Rfam. Lineage: Eukaryota; Metazoa; Chordata; Mammalia; Chiroptera; Vespertilionidae.
AGAGGCCCAUCUGUGGCCAGGUGCGGAAUGCUUGCCUCGUUGCCACGGUGACGAAGCAAGCAUUCCGCCAGGCCGCUCAUGCUGCCCGC